GACGAACGCUGGCGGCGUGCUUAACACAUGCAAGUCGAACGAGAAGUCCCUGCUGUUGUGUUGUGCUGGAAGGGCUAACUGGUGAUUAACACGGGAGUAACCUGCCCUUGACUUUGUGAUAACUUCAGGAAACUGGGGCUAAUACCGGAUAGGAGCUCCUGCUUCAUGGUGGGGGUUGGCAAGUUUCGGCGGUUGGGGCUGGCGUCGCGGCUUAUCAGCUUGUGGGUGGGGUAGUAGCUUACCAAGGCUUUGACGGGUACACGGGCCGAGGGGGGCGCAGGCCCCGCUGGGACUGAGAUAAGGCACAGACCCAUCCGGGAGGCAGCAGUGGGGAAGAGUGCACAAUGGGCGGAAGGCUGAUGCAGUAACGCCGCGUGGGGGAUGACGGCCUUUGGGUUGUAAACCGAUUUCGCAUGUGACGAAGCGUGAGUGACGGUACUGGGUAAAGAAGCCCCGGCUAACUACGUG
Molecule: ribosomal RNA, 468 nt
Filed under: uncultured bacterium
Lineage: Bacteria
Description: partial 16S ribosomal RNA
Rfam family: Bacterial small subunit ribosomal RNA
Source: RNAcentral